GAUCCUGGCUCAGGAUGAACGCUAGCUACAGGCUUAACACAUGCAAGUCGAGGGGCAGCAUGGUCUUAGCUUGCUAAGGCCGUUGGCGACCGGCGCACGGGUGAGUAACACGUAUCCAACCUGCCGUCUACUCUUGGACAGCCUUCUGAAAGGAAGAUUAAUACAAGAUGGCAUCAUGGGUUCACAUGUUCACAUGAUUAAAGGUAUUCCGGUAGACGAUGGGGAUGCG
This 229-nucleotide ribosomal RNA is filed under the name uncultured bacterium. Its description in RNAcentral is "partial 16S ribosomal RNA". It matches the Rfam family "Bacterial small subunit ribosomal RNA", at positions 15 to 235 of the family's 1533-position model. The record is from RNAcentral.